Molecule: ribosomal RNA, 791 nt
Filed under: uncultured Tomentella
Lineage: Eukaryota; Fungi; Basidiomycota; Agaricomycetes; Thelephorales; Thelephoraceae
Description: eukaryotic LSU rRNA
Rfam family: 5.8S ribosomal RNA (bases 206-360)
Source: RNAcentral
CAUUACCGAAUUGUCAACACGAGUUGUUGCUGGUCCUCAGACGAGGGCAUGUGCACGCUCUGUUUACACAUCCACUCACACCUGUGCACCCUCUGUAGUUCUAUGGUCUGAGGGGCUCUGUCCUCUCGCCGUGGCUCUAUGUCUUUACACACGCACUGUAAUAAAGUUUCAUGGAAUGCAUGACGCGUUUAACGCAAUACAAUACAACUUUCAGCAACGGAUCUCUUGGCUCUCGCAUCGAUGAAGAACGCAGCGAAAUGCGAUAAGUAAUGUGAAUUGCAGAAUUCAGUGAAUCAUCGAAUCUUUGAACGCACCUUGCGCCCUUUGGCUAUUCCAGAGGGCAUGCCUGUUUGAGUAUCAUGAACACCUCAACUCUCACGGUUUGCCGUGAUGAGCUUGGACUUUGGAGGUCUUGCCGGCCUGUGGUUGGCUCCUCUCAAAUGAAUCAGCUUGCCAGUGUUUGGUGGCAUCCCAGGUGUGAUAACUAUCUACGCUUGUGGCUUUCCACCAGGUAACCUUCAGCGAUGGAGGUUCGCUGGGGCUCACAAAUGUCUCUCCUAAGUGAGGACGGCUUCUUGAAUGUUUGAUCUCAAAUCAGGUAGGGCUACCCGCUGAACUUAAGCAUAUCAAUAAGCGGAGGAAAAGAAACUAACAAGGAUUCCCCUAGUAACUGCGAGUGAAGCGGGAAGAGCUCAAAUUUAAAAUCUGGCGUCCUCUGGUCGUCCGAGUUGUAGUCUGGAGAAGCGUUUUCCGUGUCGGACCGUGUAUAAGUCUCUUGGAACAGGGCGUCA